RNAcentral lists this ribosomal RNA (373 nucleotides) under Meloidogyne enterolobii. Its description in RNAcentral is "partial 16S ribosomal RNA". The record is from RNAcentral. Lineage: Eukaryota; Metazoa; Nematoda; Chromadorea; Rhabditida; Meloidogynidae.
AUUAUUUUAAGAUUAUUUUUUAUUGUUGAAAAAAUUAAAAAUAAAUUGUUUUUAACAAAAAUUAAAAUUUAUAAUAUUUCAUUUUUUGGUUUUUUGUUUUAAAUUAAAAUAAUAAAUAUGGGGGAAAAAAAAAUUUUGUUAUAAAUUAUAUUAGUUUAUUUUAAUUAAAAAUAUUUUUUAUUAAAUUUGUUUUUUUUAUUUUUUUAUAAAAAAUAUUAAUUUAAUUAUUAUUAUUGAGUUUAAUUUAGUUAUUUUUAAAAAAAUUUUGUAUAAAAUAAAUUUGAUAAUAAAUGUUUUUUAAAUUCUUUGGGGGUUUAGUUUAUGAUUUUGUCUGCUCAUUCAUUGUUAAAUAAAAGCACUUUUAGCGUGAUUG